GCCCAGGUGCUGCUGGAACCGCCCGACAUUAAGGAUUCAGUUCUUUUCCUGUCAGUUCCUCCCAGCCCGGCCCCCCGGCGCGUCUGAUCUCUGAAAACGCCGGACUGCCUCCGGCCUACGAAGGGUUCUACCUGGAGGGCGCUAGUAACAAGCCUGCCUGUCCCAGCCCCCGGAAUCGUUAUCCCCCGAGGAGGAGGGGCGGUGGUGGCUGGAAUAAUUACAACAAUACAGUCGAUAACAAUAGCCGGCAAUUAGCGCGGCCCCCAUCUGCCAGCCAGGCACCCGCACGCGCCGGCGCAGUCGCUCCUUCGCGCGCCGCCCGGAGCGCAGCCUCUUGCAGGCUGAUUGGACCUGGAGGGGUGCUGGCGAGUCGAGGGAGUUAUGUUUGUGGGGGUCGGAGGCAGUGACCGGGGAGAAGGGCCGGACCCCUGGUUGGCGUGAGACCGGAAUCUGGACCCCUAGCUCACCCCCGUCUCACCGGAAACUCAACCAACCCAACAUCUCACCCUCAAAGACUGCGGGAGGCCUUGGGCCAGCGGAGACACGCGUCCCUGCCCCGGGUCUCUCAGCGUCCGGGCCGGGGAGGCGGAAACCGGUGGGCCGUGCCCCGGGCGCCUGGAAGCCUUCAAAGCUGCGCGCCUCCCGCCGGCUGCAGUGCGCGCCUUUGCCCGACAGGGACCAGCACCGCUCCACGCGCCGCGCGCCUGCCCGCUCGCCCUCCGGAGCCCAGGCUGCCGGGCCGCGAGCGGUCUGACCCCCUUCGGAAAGUGAACGGACUGCCUGCGGCCUCCGCAGCACGGUGUAGCUCCCACCCUAUCCCCAUCCGGACAGCAGAAGCUGCUCUAGAAGUUGGUCUGGGGCGGAGACCGUCCCGGAUCCGAGAGGAAAAAUAAAACACUAGAUUCGUUUGAGAGGUGGCCUCAGUUAGAGGGUUGCGCGCUUUUCUGAGCACCUUCCCAGUCGCUGGCCUC
Molecule: long non-coding RNA, 971 nt
Organism: Bubalus bubalis (water buffalo)
Lineage: Eukaryota; Metazoa; Chordata; Mammalia; Artiodactyla; Bovidae
Exons: 3
Source: RefSeq, a predicted model, not a curated record